AUGCUGUGCAAGGCACUUUGCAGGUUUGGUAAAAAGCUGGUACGUAGACAUACACUGGCGCAAUACGUGGCUAAGAUUUCUCCUGCCGGAAGACUGAGCACUCUGGAUAUAGUGUCCCUGGGUGUGGGCAACACAGUGGGUGCAGGUUUGUAUGUCCUGGCUGAUGAGGUGGCGAGUGAAAUAGCAGGACCAUCCAUUGUGAUCUGCUUUUUGGUGGCCGCCCUGUCUUCUGUGCUAUGCAGAGUUUAGUGCCCAGGUUCCCCAGUCUGCUUCUGCGUAUCUCUACAGCUAUGUCACUGUGGGUGAACUCUGGGCUUUCAUCACUGGCUGGAACCUUAUCCUGUCUUGUGUUACUGGUAUGGCCAGUAUGGCCCGGGCCUGGAGUUUAGCUUUUGAUGGCCUGAUUGGGAACUGGAUCUCUUGGACCUUGAGUGAGAGGAUCUCACUGUAUGUUCCCUAUGUCCUUACAGAAUAUCCAGACUUCUUUGCUGUGGGCCUGGUGGUGUUGCUCACCGGAUUGCUGGCUCUGAGGGCUAGUGAGUUUGUCCUGGUUACUAUGGUGUUCACAGUGGUGAAUCUUUUGGUUCUUGGUUUUGUCAUCAUCUCUGGGUUCAUUAAGGGGAACCUGCACAACUGGAAGCUCACAGAAGAGGACUACAUAAUGACCAUGUCUAGACUCAAUGACACUUCUAGCUUGGGUCCUCUGGGCUCUGGAGGGUUUGUGCCUUUUGGCUUUGAGGGAAUUCUCUGUGGAACAGCUACCUGUUUCUAUGCAUUUACUGGUUUUGACAGCAUUAUUACUGCUGCCGAAGAAGCCCAGAAUCUAAAGCGUUCUGUCCCCAUGGGCAUUGUGAUUUCAGUGUUCAUCUGCUUUUUGGUGUAUUUUGGUGUCUCUGCGGCACUUACGCUCAUGGUGCCUUACUACCAGCUUCAACCUGGGAGCCCCUUGCCUCAGGCAUUUCUCCAUAUUGGCUGGGCCCCUGCCUGCUAUGUUGUGGCUGUUGGAGCCCUCUGUGCUCUUUCUACCGGCAUCUUGGAUUCUAUGUUCCUCAUUCGUUGGAUGAUCUAUGUGAUGGCAUACGAUGGCCUCCUGUUCGGUGUCCUUGCCAGGCUGUACACCAGGACAGACCUCCCCAUCAUGGCCACUGUGGCCUCGGGCAUUAUCACAGCUUUUGUGACAUUCUUCUUUGGACUCACCGCUCUUGUGGAACUCAUGUCGAUUGGGACCCUGCUUACAUACUCCCUGGUGGCUAUUUGUGUUCUCAUCGUCAGGUAUCAGCCUGAAAUGAAGGAUGAAGAUGAUGCAGCAGGGGCGCAGCGGAACAGCAGACCUGUGCUGGAGAAGCUGACCAUGUGGGGACUCUUUUAUCCAGGCAGCCCCACCCCCACCGCAUUCUCUGGCCUGGUUGUCUACGUUUGCUCCUCACUGCUUGCCCUGCUGCUGACUCUUCUUGGCCUGGCGCUGGCUCAGUGGCCAGUUCUGCUGCUUUCCGGAGAUGCAGUACUGAUUAUAGUGGUUGUGCUGCUCCUGGUGCUCAUCACUGGGAUCACUGGGGUCAUCUGGAGACAGCCACAGAGCUCUACUCCCCUUUACUUGAAGGUCCCUGCUCUGCCUCUCCUCUCACUCCUGAGCAUCUUUAUGAAUGUUUACCUUAUGAUGCAGAUGGCAGCUGGCACCUGGAUCCGAUUUGGUGUCUGGAUGCUGAUUGGGUUGGCUAUCUACUUUGGCUAUGGGAUCCAGCACGCACGCAGGAUUAAACCCACUUCAGUCAGGGCACAAACGGACGACCUUGAACUCAACAGUGCCAGUACAAGUUCGAUUUGA
Molecule: RNA transcript, 1825 nt
Organism: Enhydra lutris kenyoni (northern sea otter)
Lineage: Eukaryota; Metazoa; Chordata; Mammalia; Carnivora; Mustelidae
Gene name: cationic amino acid transporter 3 pseudogene
Exons: 1
Source: RefSeq, a predicted model, not a curated record